This 429-nucleotide ribosomal RNA is filed under the name Gemmatimonadota bacterium. Its description in RNAcentral is "Gemmatimonadetes bacterium partial 16S ribosomal RNA". It matches the Rfam family "Bacterial small subunit ribosomal RNA", at positions 355 to 776 of the family's 1533-position model. Lineage: Bacteria; Pseudomonadati; Gemmatimonadota. The record is from RNAcentral.
UAGGGAAUCUUCGGCAAUGGACGAAAGUCUGACCGAGCAACGCCGCGUGAGUGAAGAAGGUUUUCGGAUCGUAAAACUCUGUUGUUAGAGAAGAACAAGGACGUUAGUAACGGAACGUCCCCUGACGGUAUCUAACCAGAAAGCCACGGCUAACUACGUGCCAGCAGCCGCGGUAAUACGGAGGUGGCAAGCGUUGUCCGGAUUUAUUGGGCGUAAAGCGAGCGCAGGCGGUUUCUUAAGUCUGAUGUGAAAGCCCCCGGCUCAACCGGGGAGGGUCAUUGGAAACUGGGAGACUUGAGUGCAGAAGAGGGGAGUGGAAUUCCAUGUGUAGCGGUGAAAUGCGUAGAUAUAUGGAGGAACACCAGUGGCGAAGGCGGCUCUCUGGUCUGUAACUGACGCUGAGGCUCGAAAGCGUGGGGAGCAAACAGG